AGUGAACGCUGGCGGUAGGCCUAACACAUGCCAGUCGAACGGCAGCACAGUAAGAGCUUGCUCUUACGGGUGGCGAGUGGCGGACGGGUGAGGAAUACAUCGGAAUCUACUUUUUCGUGGGGGAUAACGUAGGGAAACUUACGCUAAUACCGCAUACGACCUACGGGUGAAAGCAGGGGAUCUUCGGACCUUGCGCGAUUGAAUGAGCCGAUGUCGGAUUAGCUAGUUGGCGGGGUAAAGGCCCACCAAGGCGACGAUCCGUAGCUGGUCUGAGAGGAUGAUCAGCCACACGGGAACUGAGACACGGUCCAGACACCUACGGGAGGCAGCAGUGGGGAAUAUUGGACAAUGGGCGCAAGCCUGAUCCAGCCAUACCGCGUGAGGGAAGAAGGCCUUCGGGUUGUAAAGCCCUUUUGUUGGGAAAGAAAAGCAGCAGGUUAAUACCCCGCUGUUCUGACGGUACCCAAAGAAUAAGCACCGGCUAACUUCGUG
RNAcentral lists this ribosomal RNA (492 nucleotides) under uncultured bacterium. Its description in RNAcentral is "partial 16S ribosomal RNA". It matches the Rfam family "Bacterial small subunit ribosomal RNA", at positions 29 to 507 of the family's 1533-position model. The record is from RNAcentral.